This 478-nucleotide ribosomal RNA is filed under the name uncultured bacterium. RNAcentral describes it as "bacterial SSU rRNA". It matches the Rfam family "Bacterial small subunit ribosomal RNA", at positions 8 to 507 of the family's 1533-position model. The record is from RNAcentral.
AGAGUUUGAUCAUGGCUCAGAUUGAACGCUGGCGGAAUGCUUUACACAUGCAAGUCGAGCGGCAGCGCGGGGGCAACCUGGCGGCGAGCGGCGAACGGGUGAGUAAUACAUCGGAACGUGCCCAGUAGUGGGGGAUAGCCCGGCGAAAGCCGGAUUAAUACCGCAUACGACCUACGGGUGAAAGCAGGGGAUCGCAAGACCUUGCGCUAUUGGAGCGGCCGAUGUCAGAUUAGGUUGUUGGUGGGGUAAAAGCCUACCAAGCCGACGAUCUGUAGCUGGUCUGAGAGGACGACCAGCCACACUGGGACUGAGACACGGCCCAGACUCCUACGGGAGGCAGCAGUCGGGAAUUUUGGGCAAUGGGCGAAAGCCUGACCCAGCAACGCCGCGUGAAGGAUGAAGUAUUUCGGUAUGUAAACUUCGAAAGAAUAGGAAGAAUUAAUGACGGUACUAUUUAUAAGGUCCGGCUAACUACGUG